CUCCUCCUGAAAUUAGCGCCACAUGUGUGCACCACUAAUCCAAGUGAUGUGAUUGAGGAACUAAGGAG
Pleuronectes platessa (European plaice) is the source of this 68-nucleotide small nucleolar RNA. RefSeq annotates it as small nucleolar RNA SNORD66. The transcript has a single exon. NCBI's taxonomy places the organism in Eukaryota, Metazoa, Chordata, Actinopteri, Pleuronectiformes, Pleuronectidae. The record is from RefSeq and is a predicted model, not a curated record.